RNAcentral lists this long non-coding RNA (252 nucleotides) under Aquilegia coerulea. Its description in RNAcentral is "long non-coding RNA (ACOE_LNC000793)". Lineage: Eukaryota; Viridiplantae; Streptophyta; Magnoliopsida; Ranunculales; Ranunculaceae. The record is from RNAcentral.
UUUUGACUUUUUUGCCCUUGUUUUAAUUUUAUUUUCAUACUUUUUUUUUUUUUGUAAAAAAAGAAAAAAAAACCCCCCUGAAAUGGGGGUGGGGUUUGGCCUGACCCCUACCUGUUCAGAAAGAUGAAAAAAUAUAGAGCUGAGGGGGGCUAGGCCUUACCUCAUUACAAGUAGGAUUUAAAACAACAUAGACCAAAAGGCCUUGAACAAAACUAAGCAGACCUAGAUAGUAGACUAGAAGCCCAAACCUAU